Molecule: non-coding RNA, 299 nt
Organism: Mus musculus (house mouse)
Lineage: Eukaryota; Metazoa; Chordata; Mammalia; Rodentia; Muridae
Source: the annotation of a RefSeq genome assembly
ACCCUGUAGAGGUACAACUGAAGUAGUCAUGACCUGACCUGCUGCAAUCCUCACAGGCUGUCUCUCAUCUGCACUGUCUCUGGCUUCUCAUUAACCAUCUAUGGUGUAAACUGGGUCCUCCAGCCACUAGGAAGGGGAUUGCAGAGGAUGCCAGCAAUAUGGAGAGGUGAAAGCACAGAGUAUAAUUCAGAUCUCAAAUCCUGAAUCAGCAUCAGUAGGGACACAUCCAAGAGUCAACUUUUCUUAAAACUGAACAGAAUUCAAACUGAGGACAUAGCCAUCUAUGACCCUGUCAGAGA